UUUCCGUAGGUGAACCUGCGGAAGGAUCAUUAAAGAGAAUAUGCCCUUCGGGGUAGAUCUCCCACCCUUUGUUUAUAUUACCUUUGUUGCUUUGGCAGGCCCGUCUUCGGACCACCGGCUUCGGCUGGUCAGAGCUUGCCAGAGGACCCAAAGCUCUUAUUAUUAAUGUCGUCUGAGUACUAUAUAAUAGUUAAAACUUUCGACAACGGAUCUCUUGGUUCUG
Molecule: unclassified non-coding RNA, 223 nt
Filed under: plant metagenome
Description: partial contains small subunit ribosomal RNA, internal transcribed spacer 1, and 5.8S ribosomal RNA
Source: RNAcentral